Molecule: transfer RNA, 65 nt
Filed under: Achalinus rufescens (Boulenger's odd-scaled snake)
Lineage: Eukaryota; Metazoa; Chordata; Lepidosauria; Squamata; Xenodermidae
Description: tRNA-Asp
Source: RNAcentral
GAGGACCUAGUAAACACCUAUUACAUGGCUUUGUCGCGGCCAAAUCACAGCACCUGUGGUCCUCA